RNAcentral lists this ribosomal RNA (433 nucleotides) under uncultured bacterium. RNAcentral's name for it is "partial 16S ribosomal RNA". It matches the Rfam family "Bacterial small subunit ribosomal RNA", at positions 29 to 507 of the family's 1533-position model. The record is from RNAcentral.
AACGAACGCUGGCGGCAGGCCUAACACAUGCAAGUCGAGCGGGGACUUCGGGCCUAGCGGCGGACGGGUGAGUAACGCGUGGGAACGUGCCCUUUGCUUCGGAAUAGCCCUGGGAAACGGGGAGUAAUACCGGAUGAGCCCUUUGGGGGAAAGAUUUAUCGGCGAAGGAUCGGCCCGCGUUGGAUUAGGUAGUUGGUGGGGUAAUGGCCUACCAAGCCGACGAUCCAUAGCUGGUUUGAGAGGAUGAUCAGCCACACUGGGACUGAGACACGGCCCAGACUCCUACGGGAGGCAGCAGUGGGGAAUCUUAGACAAUGGGGGAAACCCUGAUCUAGCCAUGCCGCGUGAGCGAUGAAGGCCUUAGGGUUGUAAAGCUCUUUCAGCUGGGAAGAUAAUGACGGUACCAGCAGAAGAAGCCCCGGCUAACUCCGUG